Molecule: transfer RNA, 76 nt
Filed under: Bacteroidota bacterium
Lineage: Bacteria; Pseudomonadati; Bacteroidota
Description: tRNA-Phe
Rfam family: tRNA
About the family: Transfer RNA (tRNA) molecules are approximately 80 nucleotides in length.
Source: RNAcentral
GGUCAGGUAGCUCAGUUGGUAGAGCAAUGGACUGAAAAUCCAUGUGUCGGCGGUUCAAUUCCGUCCCUGACCACCA